UCCUACGGGAGGCAGCAGUGGGGAAUUUUGGGCAAUGGGGGCAACCCUGAUCCAGCCAUGCCGCGUGCAGGAUGAAGGCCUUCGGGUUGUAAACUGCUUUUGUACGGAACGAAAAGACUCUGGUUAAUACCUGGGGUUCAUGACG
RNAcentral lists this ribosomal RNA (145 nucleotides) under uncultured bacterium. Its description in RNAcentral is "partial 16S ribosomal RNA". It matches the Rfam family "Bacterial small subunit ribosomal RNA", at positions 337 to 474 of the family's 1533-position model. The record is from RNAcentral.